UACGUAGGGGGCAAGCGUUAUCCGGAUUUACUGGGUGUAAAGGGAGCGUAGACGGCAGGGCAAGUCUGGAGUGAAAGCCCGGGGCCCAACCCCGGGACUGCUUUGGAAACUGCCAUGCUGGAGUGCAGUAGAGGAAAGUGGAAUUCCUAGUGUAGCGGUGGAAUGCGUAGAUAUUAGGAGGAACAUCAGUGGCGAAGGCGACUUUCUGGACUGUAACUGACGCUGAGGCACGAAAGUGUGGGGAGCAAACAGG
RNAcentral lists this ribosomal RNA (253 nucleotides) under uncultured Lachnospiraceae bacterium. Its description in RNAcentral is "partial 16S ribosomal RNA". It matches the Rfam family "Bacterial small subunit ribosomal RNA", at positions 524 to 776 of the family's 1533-position model. Lineage: Bacteria; Bacillati; Bacillota; Clostridia; Lachnospirales; Lachnospiraceae. The record is from RNAcentral.